Molecule: ribosomal RNA, 494 nt
Filed under: uncultured bacterium
Lineage: Bacteria
Description: partial 16S ribosomal RNA
Rfam family: Bacterial small subunit ribosomal RNA
Source: RNAcentral
GACGAACGCUGGCGGCGUGCUUAACACAUGCAAGUCGAACGGUGAAGCGCCUUCCUUUUUGGUGGGUGUGGAUGAGUGGCGAACGGGUGAGUAACACGUGAGUAACCUGCUCCCUUCUUCUGGAUAACCGCAUGAAAGUGUGGCUAAUACGGGAUAUUCUGGGUCUGUCGCAUGAUGGGUCUGGGAAAGAUAUUGUUUCGGUGGGGGAUGGGCUCGCGGCCUAUCAGCUUGUUGGUGGGGUGAUGGCCUACCAAGGCGGUGACGGGUAGCCGGCCUGAGAGGGUGGACGAUCACACUAGGACUGAGACACGGCCCAGACUCCUACGGGAGGCAGCAGUGGGGAAUAUUGCACAAUGGGCGCAAGCCUGAUGCAGCGACGCCGCGUGAGGGAUGGAGGCCUUCGGGUUGUGAACCUCUUUCGCCAGUGAAGCAGGCCUGCCUCGUUUGUGGGUGGGUUGACGGUAGCUGGAUAAGAAGCGCCGGCUAACUACGUG